RNAcentral lists this ribosomal RNA (503 nucleotides) under uncultured bacterium. Its description in RNAcentral is "partial 16S ribosomal RNA". It matches the Rfam family "Bacterial small subunit ribosomal RNA", at positions 28 to 523 of the family's 1533-position model. The record is from RNAcentral.
GAUGAACGCUGGCGGCAUGCCUUACACAUGCAAGUCGAACGGCAGCAUGGAGAGCUUGCUCUCUGAUGGCGAGUGGCGAACGGGUGAGUAAAGCAUCGGAACGUACCGUGUAGUGGGGGAUAACGUAGCGAAAGUUACGCUAAUACCGCAUACGCACUGAGGUGGAAAGCAGGGGAUCGCAAGACCUUGCGCUAUACGAGCGGCCGAUGUCAGAUUAGCUAGUUGUUAGGGUAAAGGCCUACCAAGGCGACGAUCUGUAGCGGGUCUGAGAGGAUGAUCCGCCAGGCAGGGACUGAGACGCGGCCCAGACUCCUACGGGAGGCAGCAGUGGGGAAUUUGGGACAAUGGGGGCAACCCUGAUCCAGCCCUGCCGCGUGAGUGAAGAAGGCCUUCGGGUUGUAAAGCUCUUUCGGCCGGGAAGAAAUCGCACAGGCUAAUACUCUGUGUGGAUGACGGUACCGGCAUAAGAAGCACCGGCUAACUACGUGCCAGCGCCGCGGUAA